GAGUUUGAUCUUGGCUCAGAUUGAACGCUGGCGGCAUGCCUUACACAUGCAAGUCGAACGGCAGCACGGGAGCUUGCUCCUGGUGGCGAAUGGCGAACGGGUGAGUAAUGCAUCGGAACGUAUCCUGGAGUGGGGGAUAACGUAGCGAAAGUUACGCUAAUACCGCAUAUUCUGUGAGCAGGAAAGCGGGGGACCUUCGGGCCUCGCGCUCUUGGAGCGGCCGAUGUCGGAUUAGCUAGUUGGUGAGGUAAAGGCUCACCAAGGCGACGAUCCGUAGCAGGUCUGAGAGGAUGAUCUGCCACACUGGAACUGAGACACGGUCCAGACUCCUACGGGAGGCAGCAGUGGGGAAUUUUGGACAAUGGGGGCAACCCUGAUCCAGCCAUGCCGCGUGAGUGAAGAAGGCCUCGG
RNAcentral lists this ribosomal RNA (411 nucleotides) under bacterium enrichment culture clone ALO1_GLFRUDD03FSXNS. RNAcentral's name for it is "bacterial SSU rRNA". It matches the Rfam family "Bacterial small subunit ribosomal RNA", at positions 9 to 420 of the family's 1533-position model. The record is from RNAcentral.